UACGAAGGUGGCAAGCGUUGUUCGGAUUCACUGGGCGUACAGGGUGUGUAGGCGGUUUGGUAAGCCUUCUGUUAAAGCUUCGGGCCCAACCCGGAAAGCGCAGAGGGUACUGCCAGGCUAGAGGGCGGGAGAGGAGCGCGGAAUUCCCGGUGUAGCGGUGAAAUGCGUAGAGAUCGGGAGGAAGGCCGGUGGCGAAGGCGGCGCUCUGGACCAGCACUGACACUGAGGCACGAAAGCGUGGGGAGCAAACAGG
RNAcentral lists this ribosomal RNA (253 nucleotides) under uncultured bacterium. RNAcentral's name for it is "partial 16S ribosomal RNA". It matches the Rfam family "Bacterial small subunit ribosomal RNA", at positions 524 to 776 of the family's 1533-position model. The record is from RNAcentral.